UAGUCCACGCCGUAAACGAUGUCUGCUAGCCGUCGGGGCACAUAGUGCUUCGGUGGCGGAGUUAACGCAUUAAGCAGACCGCCUGGGGAGUACGGCCGCAAGGUUAAAACUCAAAGGAAUUGACGGGGGCCCGCACAAGCGGUGGAGCAUGUGGUUUAAUUCGAUGCAACGCGAAGAACCUUACCAGAGCUUGACAUGUCGCAAAUUUUUACGAAAGUUUAAAGUGCCUUAGGGAAUGCGAACACAGGUGGUGCAUGGUUGUCGUCAGCUCGUGUCGUGAGAUGUUGGGUUAAGUCCCGCAACGAGCGCAACCCUUGUCUUUAGUUGCCAUCAUUUAGUUGGGCACUCUAGAGAAACUGCCGGUGACAAACCGGAGGAAGGUAAGGAUGACGUCAAGUCAGCAUGCCCCUUACGCUCUGGGCUACACACGUGCUACAAUGGUCGUGACAAAGAGUUGCUAGUCUGCGAAGGCAAGCCAAUCUCAUAAACGCGGCCUUAGUUCGGAUUGCAGG
RNAcentral lists this ribosomal RNA (512 nucleotides) under uncultured bacterium. RNAcentral describes it as "bacterial SSU rRNA". It matches the Rfam family "Bacterial small subunit ribosomal RNA", at positions 791 to 1304 of the family's 1533-position model. The record is from RNAcentral.